UCGAGUUAGGGUCUUUAUAGGCCUGACCUCCCAACCCUUUGCCUAAUUGACCACUUGUUGCUUCGGCGGGCCCGUCUUUACCGACCGCCGGAGGACCGUCAGACGUCCUCUGGCCCGCGCCCGUCGAUGGCCCUCUUUAAAACUCAUGAAUAAAUCGUGUCAUUUGUCUGAGUCCUAUUGCAAAAUUAAAGCA
This 193-nucleotide unclassified non-coding RNA is filed under the name uncultured Chaetothyriales. Its description in RNAcentral is "sequence contains ITS1". Lineage: Eukaryota; Fungi; Ascomycota; Eurotiomycetes; Chaetothyriales. The record is from RNAcentral.